GGGGAUUUGGCUCAGUGGUAGAGUGCUUGCCUAGCAAGCACAAGGCCCUGGGUUCGAUCCCCAGCUUCCA
This 70-nucleotide transfer RNA is filed under the name Rattus norvegicus (Norway rat). It matches the Rfam family "tRNA". Rfam says of the family: Transfer RNA (tRNA) molecules are approximately 80 nucleotides in length. Their secondary structure includes four short double-helical elements and three loops (D, anti-codon, and T loops). Further hydrogen bonds mediate the characteristic L-shaped molecular structure. tRNAs have two regions of fundamental functional importance: the anti-codon, which is responsible for specific mRNA codon recognition, and the 3' end, to which the tRNAs corresponding amino acid is attached (by aminoacyl-tRNA synthetases). tRNAs cope with the degeneracy of the genetic code in two manners: having more than one tRNA (with a specific anti-codon) for a particular amino acid; and 'wobble' base-pairing, i.e. permitting non-standard base-pairing at the 3rd anti-codon position. Lineage: Eukaryota; Metazoa; Chordata; Mammalia; Rodentia; Muridae. The record is from Rfam by way of RNAcentral.